UACAGAGGGGGCAAGCGUUGUUCGGAAUUACUGGGCGUAAAGGGCGCGUAGGCGGCCUUCUAAGUCGAACGUGAAAUCCCUGGGCUCAACCCAGGAACUGCGUCCGAUACUGGAAGGCUUGAAUCCGGGAGAGGGAUGCGGAAUUCCAGGUGUAGCGGUGAAAUGCGCAGAUAUCAGGAGGAACACCGGUGGCGAAGGCGGUUCUCUGGGCCUUACCUGACACUGAGGAGCGAAAGCGUGGGGAGCGAACAGG
Molecule: ribosomal RNA, 253 nt
Filed under: uncultured bacterium
Lineage: Bacteria
Description: partial 16S ribosomal RNA
Rfam family: Bacterial small subunit ribosomal RNA
Source: RNAcentral